RNAcentral lists this ribosomal RNA (253 nucleotides) under uncultured bacterium. RNAcentral's name for it is "partial 16S ribosomal RNA". It matches the Rfam family "Bacterial small subunit ribosomal RNA", at positions 524 to 776 of the family's 1533-position model. The record is from RNAcentral.
UACGGGGGGGGCAAACGUUGUUCGGAAUUACUGGGCGUAAAGGGCUCGUAGGCGGCCAACUCAGUCGGACGUGAAAUCCCUCGGCUUGACCGGGGAAUGGCGUCCGAUACUGGAUGGCUCGAGUUUGGGAGAGGGAUGCGGAAUUCCAGGUGUAGCGGUGAAAUGCGUAGAUAUCUGGAGGAACACCGGUGGCGAAGGCGGCAUCCUGGACCAACACUGACGCUGAGGAGCGAAAGCCAGGGGAGCAAACGGG